CAAUACCAUGCCAAAUUUUACUUUGAUUUGACUAGUUAAUCUCUAAAUAUCACAGAAACCCUAUCCAACUUCAAACUGCCAACUUCGACCAUCCUCUUAUACUAAAAUUCAAAUAUCUCUAAACCACACUAUUAGAUUAUCACAAAAUUUUGUAUACACUUAGCACACCCAAUAAUCCAAACAAUAUCAAAUUUUUAAUUAUAGAUGCU
Molecule: long non-coding RNA, 209 nt
Filed under: Physcomitrium patens
Lineage: Eukaryota; Viridiplantae; Streptophyta; Bryopsida; Funariales; Funariaceae
Description: long non-coding RNA (PPAT_LNC011455)
Source: RNAcentral